RNAcentral lists this ribosomal RNA (253 nucleotides) under uncultured bacterium. RNAcentral's name for it is "partial 16S ribosomal RNA". It matches the Rfam family "Bacterial small subunit ribosomal RNA", at positions 524 to 776 of the family's 1533-position model. The record is from RNAcentral.
UACGGGGGGGGCAAGCGUUGUUCGGAAUUACUGGGCGUAAAGAGCUCGUAGGCGGUCUGUCGCGUCUGCUGUGAAAACUCGGGGCUUAACCCCGGGCCUGCAGUGGGUACGGGCAGACUAGAGUGCGGUAGGGGAGACUGGAAUUCCUGGUGUAGCGGUGAAAUGCGUAGAUAUCAGGAGGAAUGCCGAUGGCGAAGGCAAGUCUCUGGGCUGACACUGACGCUCAUGCACGAAAGCGUGGGGAGCAAACAGG